AUUGAACGCUGGCGGCAUGCCUUACACAUGCAAGUCGAACGGCAGCACGGGUGCUUGCACCUGGUGGCGAGUGGCGAACGGGUGAGUAAUAUAUCGGAACGUACCUUAUCGUGGGGGAUAACGCAGCGAAAGCUGCGCUAAUACCGCAUACGCCCUGAGGGGGAAAGCGGGGGACCGUAAGGCCUCGCGCGAUUAGAGCGGCCGAUAUCUGAUUAGCUUGUUGGUGGGGUAAAAGCCUACCAAGGCGACGAUCAGUAGCUGGUCUGAGAGGACGAUCAGCCACACUGGGACUGAGACACGGCCCAGACUCCUACGGGAGGCAGCAGUGGGGAAUUUUGGACAAUGGGGGCAACCCUGAUCCAGCAAUGCCGCGUGAGUGAAGAAGGCCUUCGGGUUGUAAAGCUCUUUUGUCAGGGAAGAAACAGCAGCUCUAACACA
This 438-nucleotide ribosomal RNA is filed under the name Polynucleobacter sp. Fw70s-15. RNAcentral describes it as "bacterial SSU rRNA". It matches the Rfam family "Bacterial small subunit ribosomal RNA", at positions 30 to 464 of the family's 1533-position model. Lineage: Bacteria; Pseudomonadati; Pseudomonadota; Betaproteobacteria; Burkholderiales; Burkholderiaceae. The record is from RNAcentral.